UUUUAGUUUAACUCCCCGAAACUGAUGUGAGCUACUUCGAAACAGCCAUAAGAGCUAACCCGUCUCUGUUGCAAUAGAGUGGGAAGAUUUCCAAGUAGAGGUGAUAAACCUACCGCACUCAGAAAUAGCUGGUUACUCAAGAAAAGAAUAUAAGUUCAACCUUAAGUUUAUUUUAGUCCUUAAAAACCUNACAAAACUUAAGAGCUAUUCAAAUAAGGCACAGCUUAUUUGAAACAGGAUACAACCUUUAUCAUAGGGUAAUACAUCAAAAAUAAAAUGAUUAGUGGGCCUAAAAGCAGCCACCUUAAACAAAAGCGUCAAAGCUUAACAUUUUCUUUUUCUAAUUCCUCAAACCACCUAAAACCCAUCCCCAAUAUUGAGUAAUUCCAUAAAAAUAUGGAAGAUAUUAUGCUAGAACUAGUAACAAGAAAUAACUUUUCUCCAAAAUGUAAGUCUAAGCCCCUUUAGAUAAACUAAUGGCAAUUAACGAAAAUGAACCUCCUUUAGUAACUAAUCAAGAAAAUUCUACAAACCCUUACGUUAACCUUACACUAGAACAUUAAUGGAACGAUUUAUAGAAAACGAGGGAACUCGGCAAAUCUUAGGCCCGCCUGUUUACCAAAAACAUCGCCUCUUGAAAUCAAUAUAAGAGGUCUAGCCUGCCCAGUGAUNNNNUUCAACGGCCGCGGUACCCUAACCGUGCGAAGGUAGCAUAAUCACUUGUUCUUUAAAUGAGGACUUGUAUCAACGGCAUCACGAGGGUUACACUGUCUCCUUUUUCCAAUCAGUGAAACUGAUCUCUCCGUGAAGAAGCGGAGAUUUUUCUAUAAGACGAGAAGACCCCAUGGAGCUUUAAACCCACNUGCACUCCUAUUUUNUAUNNCCUCUAAAACUAUGGAAUCUGCAUUCUUGGUUUUAGGUUGGGGUGACCGCGGAGCACAAUAUAGCCUCCACGAUGAACGGGAUUACCCCCUUAUCUACGAGCUACACCUCUAAGAAUUAGUAUUCUAACAUAAAAUGAUCCGACAAUCGAUCAACGAACCAAGUUACCCUGGGGAUAACAGCGCAAUCCACUUCAAGAGCUCCUAUCGACAAGUGGGUUUACGACCUCGAUGUUGGAUCAGGGUAUCCUAGUGGUGCAGCAGCUACUAAAGGUUCGUUUGUUCAACGAUUAAAACC
Molecule: ribosomal RNA, 1179 nt
Filed under: Mantella sp. CMR-1999
Lineage: Eukaryota; Metazoa; Chordata; Amphibia; Anura; Mantellidae
Description: partial 16S ribosomal RNA
Rfam family: Bacterial large subunit ribosomal RNA
Source: RNAcentral